UACGUAGGGGGCAAGCGUGGUCCGGAAUUACUGGGCGUAAAGGGCGCGUAGGCGGCCUUCUAAGUCGAACGUGAAAUCCCCGGGCUCAACCCGGGAACUGCGUCCGAUACUGGAAGGCUUGAAUCCGGGAGAGGGAUGCGGAAUUCCAGGUGUAGCGGUGAAAUGCGUAGAUAUCUGGAGGAACACCGGUGGCGAAGGCGGCAUCCUGGACCGGUAUUGACGCUGAGGCGCGAAAGCCAGGGGAGCAAACGGG
Molecule: ribosomal RNA, 253 nt
Filed under: uncultured bacterium
Lineage: Bacteria
Description: partial 16S ribosomal RNA
Rfam family: Bacterial small subunit ribosomal RNA
Source: RNAcentral